GGGGAAUAUUGCACAAUGGGCGAAAGCCUGAUGCAGCAACGCCGCGUGAGUGAUGAAGGUCUUCGGAUUGUAAAGCUCUGUCUUUUGGGACGAUAAUGACGGUACCAAAGGAGGAAGCCACGGCUAACUACGUGCCAGCAGCCGCGGUAAUACGUAGGUGGCGAGCGUUGUCCGGAUUUACUGGGCGUAAAGGGUGCGUAGGCGGAUGUUUAAGUGAGAUGUGAAAUACCCGGGCUUAACUUGGGUGCUGCAUUUCAAACUGGAUAUCUAGAGUGCAGGAGAGGAGAAUGGAAUUCCUAGUGUAGCGGUGAAAUGCGUAGAGAUUAGGAAGANCACAGUGGCGAAGGCGAUUCUCUGGACUGUAACUGACGCUGAGGCACGAAAAGCGUGGG
This 392-nucleotide ribosomal RNA is filed under the name uncultured bacterium. Its description in RNAcentral is "partial 16S ribosomal RNA". It matches the Rfam family "Bacterial small subunit ribosomal RNA", at positions 356 to 765 of the family's 1533-position model. The record is from RNAcentral.